RNAcentral lists this small RNA (1219 nucleotides) under Pongo abelii (Sumatran orangutan). Its description in RNAcentral is "retained intron". Lineage: Eukaryota; Metazoa; Chordata; Mammalia; Primates; Hominidae. The record is from RNAcentral.
CUGUCGCGGGCUGGGGCGGUUGGGUUGGCAGCUGAGGCUCUUGGCCAUGGAGUGGGGUUCUGAGUCGGCUGCUGUGAGGCGGCACCGCGUCGGAGGAGAGCGUCGGGAGGGAGCGGCGGCCGCGCCACCGCCGGAGAGGGAGGCCCGAGCGCAGGAGCCUCUGGUGGAUGGGUGCAACGGCGGCGGGAGGACGCGGAAGAGGAGCCCCGGGGGUAGCGGCAGCGCGAGCAGGGGCGCGGGGACCGGGCUGUCUGAGGCGCGCGCCGCGCUGGGGCUCGCGCUCUACCUGAUCGCGCUGCGGACGCUGGUGCAGCUCUCGCUGCAGCAGCUCGUGCUACGCGGGGCCGCUGGACACCGCGGGGAGUUUGACGCGCUCCAAGCCAGGGAUUAUCUUGAACACAUAACCUCCAUUGGCCCCAGGACUACAGGAAGUCCAGAAAAUGAAAUUCUGACCGUGCACUACCUUUUGGAACAGAUUAAACUGAUUGAAGUGCAAAGCAACAGCCUUCAUAAGAUUUCAGUAGAUGUACAACGGCCCACAGGCUCUUUUAGCAUUGAUUUCUUGGGAGGUUUUACAAGCUAUUAUGACAACAUCACCAAUAUUGUGGUAAAGCUGGAACCCAGAGAUGGAGCCCAGCAUGCUGUCUUGGCUAAUUGUCAUUUUGACUCAGUAGCAAACUCACCAGGUGCCAGUGAUGAUGCAGUUAGCUGCUCAGUGAUGCUGGAAGUCCUUCGCGUCUUGUCAACAUCUUCAGAAGCCUUGCAUCAUGCUGUCAUAUUUCUCUUUAAUGGUGCUGAGGAAAAUGUCUUGCAAGCCAGUCAUGGUUUCAUUACACAGCACCCCUGGGCUAGCUUGAUUCGUGCAUUCAUUAACCUAGAGGCAGCAGGUGUAGGAGGGAAAGAACUUGUAUUCCAAACAGGUCCUGAAAAUCCUUGGUUGGUUCAAGCUUAUGUUUCAGCAGCUAAACACCCUUUUGCUUCUGUGGUGGCUCAGGAGGUUUUCCAGAGUGGAAUCAUUCCUUCAGAUACUGACUUUCGUAUCUACAGGGAUUUUGGGAACAUUCCAGGUAUAUUGUCAGUGGUUAUGGCCUACUGUGCAACAUUUAUUUAUCAAAAGCAAAUUUUAAAUCUUGAAAGUUGGUGAGUAAACAGCAUUUUCUGAGAGCAAAUUCUUUAUGUGAGAAAUAUACAUUGACUCCCUAAAACAGAGUUCGUUUCC